This 72-nucleotide transfer RNA is filed under the name Ovis aries (sheep). It matches the Rfam family "tRNA". From Rfam's summary of the family: Transfer RNA (tRNA) molecules are approximately 80 nucleotides in length. Their secondary structure includes four short double-helical elements and three loops (D, anti-codon, and T loops). The record is from Rfam by way of RNAcentral. Lineage: Eukaryota; Metazoa; Chordata; Mammalia; Artiodactyla; Bovidae.
UCCUUGAUGGCUCAGACAGUAAAGAAUCUGCCUGCAAUGCAGGAGACCUGGGUUAAAUCCCUGGCUGGGGAA